UACAGAGGUCUCAACCGUUGUUCGGAUUCAUUGGGCGUAAAGGGUGCGUAGGCGGUCGCGCAAGUCGGAUGUGAAAUCUCGAGGCUCAACCUCGAAACUGCAUUCGAUACUGCGUGGCUAGAGUGCUGGAGAGGAGACUGGAAUUUACGGUGUAGCAGUGAAAUGCGUAGAUAUCGUAAGGAAGACCAGUGGCGAAGGCGAGUCUCUGGACAGCAACUGACGCUGAGGCACGAAGGCCAGGGGAGCAAACGGG
This 253-nucleotide ribosomal RNA is filed under the name uncultured bacterium. RNAcentral describes it as "partial 16S ribosomal RNA". It matches the Rfam family "Bacterial small subunit ribosomal RNA", at positions 524 to 776 of the family's 1533-position model. The record is from RNAcentral.